Molecule: ribosomal RNA, 474 nt
Filed under: uncultured organism
Description: partial 16S ribosomal RNA
Rfam family: Bacterial small subunit ribosomal RNA
Source: RNAcentral
GUACACUCCUACGGGAGGCAGCAGUGGGGAAUUUUGGACAAUGGGCGAAAGCCUGAUCCAGCCAUGCCGCGUGCAGGAUGAAGGCCUUCGGGUUGUAAACUGCUUUUGUACGGAACGAAACGGCCUUUUCUAAUAAAGAGGGCUAAUGACGGUACCGUAAGAAUAAGCACCGGCUAACUACGUGCCAGCAGCCGCGGUAAUACGUAGGGUGUAAGCGUUAAUCGGAAUUACUGGGCGUAAAGCGUGCGCAGGCGGUUAUGUAAGACAGUUGUGAAAUCCCCGGGCUCAACCUGGGAACUGCAUCUGUGACUGCAUAGCUAGAGUACGGUAGAGGGGGAUGGAAUUCCGCGUGUAGCAGUGAAAUGCGUAGAUAUGCGGAGGAACACCGAUGGCGAAGGCAAUCCCCUGGACCUGUACUGACGCUCAUGCACGAAAGCGUGGGGAGCAAACAGGAUUAGAUACCCCAGUAGUCCC